RNAcentral lists this long non-coding RNA (3238 nucleotides) under Brassica napus (rape). RNAcentral's name for it is "long non-coding RNA (BNAP_LNC013639)". Lineage: Eukaryota; Viridiplantae; Streptophyta; Magnoliopsida; Brassicales; Brassicaceae. The record is from RNAcentral.
GUCAACUUCAACAUGGCUCUAUAUUCAGCCUCAGCACUAGAACAAGAGACAACCUUCUGCUUCUUACUCUUCCAUGUAACCAAGUUCCCUCCAAUGAAGGUACAAUACCCAGUAGUUGAUCUCCUAUCAACUCUAUCUCCAGCCCAGUCAGCAUCACAAUAACCAACCACUUCUGUACUCCUAUUGCAUCCCAUCCAGACUCCUUGGCCGCUAGAGCCAUUCAAAUACCUCAAGAUCCUGUCUACCAUAAUCCAAUGGUGCAUCUUUGAAGCUUGCAUAUGCUGGCUAACUUGAUUCACAGCGAAACAUAUGUCUGGCCUGGUGAUUGUCAAGUAGAUCAGCUUCCCAACCAUCUUCCUAUACAGCUUAGCAUCUUCAAAUGGUUGAUUGUUUUCAAUCUCCCCCUCAAGUAAAACCUUAUACCCAUCCUCAAGUGGUGUCCUAGCUGUCUUUCCUCCAAGCUUACCAGCGCCCUUCAAUAGAUCCACAGUGUACUUCCUUUGAGACAUGAACAAGCCCUCCUUAGAUCUGCAUAUCUCAAUACCCAGAAAAUACUUCAUCUCUCCCAAAUCCUUGAUGUCAAACACUGAUUUGAGAAACUCCUUAGUAGCCUGGAUCCCUGCCUUAUCACUUCCUGUGAUAAUCAAAUCAUCCACAUACACUAGAAUCACAAUGAUCCCUGAAGGUCCUGUCAAGGUGAAGAGAGUGUGAUCCAGUUCAGACUUCCUAAAUCCUCUCCCAUUGAGAGUUGUACUCAGCUUCCUGUACCAAGCUCUAGGUGGCUGUUUCAGCCCAUAUAUUGUCUUCUUCAAUCUCAAGACAUUCCCUGGCUUUACUAGAUGCUCAAGACCAGGAGGUGGAUGCAUGUAUACUUCAUCUUCCAGUUCACCUUGCAGGAAAGCAUUCUUCACAUCCAUUUGCCAUAGAUCCCACUCCAAGUUUGUUACAAUGGAUAACACAAUUUGAAUUGUGUGAAGCUUAGCCACUGGUGCAAAAGUAUCAAUGUAGUCUUCCCCAUAAGUCUGUGUAAACCCUCUUGCCACCAGCCUAUUUUUGCGUCUCUCAAUAGUUCCAUCUGCCCGGUACUUGAUUGUGAAGAUCCAUCUGCUAGACACAGCCUUCUUCCCUCUUGGUAAUUCACUCUCAUACCAAGUGUCAUUUCUGAUCAUUGCAUCCCUUUCAUCACCCACUGAGUUUCUCCAGACCUUAUGUUUCAUGGCUUCCUCAUAAGACCUUGGGAUCUCAUUCUCAUCCAGAUUACACAUGAAGACCACAUGCUCCUCUGGAUAUGUUGCAAACGAACAUACUGCUUGAGUCGGAUGUGCUAAAACCCUUAUAAAGCCUUAUAAAACCUUAUAAAGUCUGGCAGCUUAAUUCUCAAGUCUGGCAGCUUAAUUCUCAAGUCUGGCAGCUUAAUCUCUUCACUUCUUGAUCUUCAUCUCAACACUCCCCCUCAAGCUAGACUAAGUGAACUUGUCUAGCUUGAGAAACCAUGAAGAUCUCCCUCAUUAAAAACCUCAACAAGGAAAACCCAUUGGGAUAAAACCUUGAUGAGGGAAAAAGAGUGGAGACUCCAUGGUUAAGGGGAUCAGCUCCUGGAAGUAAGAUCAAUGAGUCCAAGCCUUGAUAGUAUGGACUCUAUUGUCUUCUGCCUCGCUGCCUUAGUAAACACAUCAGCCAGUUGAUCCUCACUCCUUGUGUAGCAUGGCAGUAUUACUCCUAGGACAAUCAUCUGCCUCACCUUGUGACAAUCAACUUCUAUGUGCUUUGUUCUCUCAUGAAACACAGAAUUAGAAGCGAUGUGGAUAGCAGCCUGAUUAUCACAAUGCAUUGUCAUGGGAGUGGUCUGCUCAAUACUCAAAUGCUUCAAUAUCCCUUUGAUCCACACUAGCUCAUUUGUCAACUUCAACAUGGCUCUAUAUUCAGCCUCAGCACUAGAACAAGAGACAACCUUCUGCUUCUUACUCUUCCAUGUAACCAAGUUCCCUCCAAUGAAGGUACAAUACCCAGUAGUUGAUCUCCUAUCAACUCUAUCUCCAGCCCAGUCAGCAUCACAAUAACCAACCACCUCUGUACUUCUAUUGCAUCCCAUCCAGACUCCUUGGCCGCUAGAGCCAUUCAAAUACCUCAAGAUCCUGUCUACCAUAAUCCAAUGGUGCAUCUUUGGAGCUUGCAUAUGCUGGCUAACUUGAUUCACAGCGAAACAUAUGUCUGGCCUGGUGAUUGUCAAGUAGAUCAGCUUCCCAACCAUCUUCCUAUACAGCUUAGCAUCUUCAAAUGGUUGAUUGUUUUCAAUCUCCCCCUCAAGUAAAACCUUAUACCCAUCCUCAAGUGGUGUCCUAGCUGUCUUUCCUCCAAGCUUACCAGCGCCCUUCAAUAGAUCCACAGUGUACUUCCUUUGAGACAUGAACAAGCCCUCCUUAGAUCUGCAUAUCUCAAUACCCAGAAAAUACUUCAUCUCUCCCAAAUCCUUGAUGUCAAACACUGAUUUGAGAAACUCCUUAGUAGCCUGGAUCCCUGCCUUAUCACUUCCUGUGAUAAUCAAAUCAUCCACAUACACUAGAAUCACAAUGAUCCCUGAAGGUCCUGUCAAGGUGAAGAGAGUGUGGUCCAGUUCAGACUUCCUAAAUCCUCUCCCAUUGAGAGUUGUACUCAGCUUCCUGUACCAAGCUCUAGGUGGCUGUUUCAGCCCAUAUAUUGUCUUCUUCAAUCUCAAGACAUUCCCUGGCUUUACUAGAUGCUCAAGACCAGGAGGUGGAUGCAUGUAUACUUCAUCUUCCAGUUCACCUUGCAGGAAAGCAUUCUUCACAUCCAUUUGCCACAGAUCCCACUCCAAGUUUGUUGCAAUGGAUAACACAAUUCGAAUUGUGUGAAGCUUAGCCACUGGUGCAAAAGUAUCAAUGUAGUCUUCCCCAUAAGUCUGUGUAAACCCUCUUGCCACCAGCCUGGUUUUGCGUCUCUCAAUAGUUCCAUCUGCCCGGUACUUGAUUGUGAAGAUCCAUCUGCUAGACACAGCCUUCUUCCCUCUUGGUAAUUCACUCUCAUACCAAGUGUCAUUUCUGAUCAUUGCAUCCCUUUCAUCACCCACUGAGUUUCUCCAGACCUUAUGUUUCAUGGCUUCCUCAUAAGACCUUGGGAUCUCAUUCUCAUCCAGAUUACACAUGAAGACCACAUGCUCCUCUGGAUAUGUUGCAAACGAACAUACUGCUUGAGUCGAAUGUGCUACAGCCUCCGCAUU